UAAAGGAAAAGAAAGAAUGGGAUUAAGGGAAGGGGCGGAAGGCUCAUGGCAGGAAACAAAAAAAAAAAAAAAAAAAAAAAAAAAACUUUGGAUAGUAAAAGAACUCUAACGCAGGGGAAAUUUACGGGCAGCAAUGCUUUAAGGGAAAAGAGAAGCUUUUAUCAGUAAAUUUCAAGAAGGAAGAAGGAAUAAAGAUUAUCAAGCUUCAUUGUUGAUUCCUACACAAAAAGAUUGAUUGAAGAAAAGUCGUAUAGAUCGCUCGAGGUGACGAAUUUGGUAUUUCGAGACGAGUACAAGACAGCAGUUGACGCAGGCGAGGAUUUCGUUAAGUAGAG
Nicotiana attenuata is the source of this 335-nucleotide long non-coding RNA. RefSeq lists it as uncharacterized. The transcript is spliced from 3 exons. Lineage: Eukaryota; Viridiplantae; Streptophyta; Magnoliopsida; Solanales; Solanaceae. The record is from RefSeq and is a predicted model, not a curated record.